GCAGUGGUGGUUCAGUGGUAGAUUUCUUGCCUUCUGUACAGGAAACCCAGGUUCGAGUCCCGGCCAGUGCA
This 71-nucleotide transfer RNA is filed under the name Loxodonta africana (African savanna elephant). It matches the Rfam family "tRNA". Rfam says of the family: Transfer RNA (tRNA) molecules are approximately 80 nucleotides in length. Their secondary structure includes four short double-helical elements and three loops (D, anti-codon, and T loops). The record is from Rfam by way of RNAcentral. Lineage: Eukaryota; Metazoa; Chordata; Mammalia; Proboscidea; Elephantidae.